AGGCACUUUAGGAAGCAAUCCUAAAAAUUCUUCCUCCAGUCCUGGCAAUACAGUAACGUCUUUCACUACCACAGCUGUCCACAGCCUCAGGAAUUCUUCAGUGAAGUCUAGGACAAACUACAAAACUAAGUACAACUGAAAAAAUGUCAUUUCAUUUUUACCUGGACUUCUCAGAAGAAAAGCACCAAACAAAAGCAGCAGGACUGGCAAAGAGAAAUACGGAACAAGAAAGAAGCCCCCCAUUUUUUCAGAAGUGACAAGUUAUUGCAGUUAAAGCUGCCUUGUGAAACCCAAAGACAAACAUUUGCCAAGUAACUGCUGUUUACAAAGAAAGAAUGAGAUUAAUUUUGUAUUCGGACUUCAGCACAGAAUAAACCAGUAAGGUUGCCACUG
Pezoporus occidentalis (night parrot) is the source of this 393-nucleotide long non-coding RNA. RefSeq lists it as uncharacterized. The record is from RefSeq and is a predicted model, not a curated record. Lineage: Eukaryota; Metazoa; Chordata; Aves; Psittaciformes; Psittacidae. The transcript has 2 exons.